RNAcentral lists this ribosomal RNA (381 nucleotides) under uncultured bacterium. RNAcentral describes it as "bacterial SSU rRNA". It matches the Rfam family "Bacterial small subunit ribosomal RNA", at positions 30 to 407 of the family's 1533-position model. The record is from RNAcentral.
AUUGAACGCUGGCGGCAGGCCUAACACAUGCAAGUCGAGCGGUAACAGGGAUAGCUUGCUAUCUGCUGACGAGCGGCGGACGGGUGCGUAACACGUAGGAAUCUACCCAGUAGCGGGGGAUAGCCCGGAGAAAUCCGGAUUAAUACCGCAUACGCCCUACGGGGGAAGCAGGGGAGUCUUCGGACCUUGCACUAUUGGAUGAGCCUGCGUCGGAUUAGCUAGUUGGUGGGGUAAAGGCCUACCAAGGCGACGAUCCGUAGCUGGUCUGAGAGGAUGAUCAGCCACACUGGGACUGAGACACGGCCCAGACUCCUACGGGAGGCAGCAGUGGGGAAUAUUGCACAAUGGGCGCAAGCCUGAUGCAGCCAUGCCGCGUGUGUG